GCCCGAGUGGCGGAAUGGCAGACGCGAGCGGCUUAAAACCGCUUGCUCGAAAGGGCGUGCGGGUUCGAGUCCCGCCUCGGGCA
RNAcentral lists this transfer RNA (83 nucleotides) under Acidimicrobiia bacterium. RNAcentral describes it as "tRNA-Leu". It matches the Rfam family "tRNA". Rfam says of the family: Transfer RNA (tRNA) molecules are approximately 80 nucleotides in length. Lineage: Bacteria; Bacillati; Actinomycetota; Acidimicrobiia. The record is from RNAcentral.